AAAGAGAUAGCCAAAUGGUUAAGGCACUGGAUUUUGAAUCCAGCAUUUGAAGGUUCAAAUCCUUCUCUCUUUA
Transfer RNA from Candidatus Nasuia deltocephalinicola str. NAS-ALF, 73 nucleotides. It matches the Rfam family "tRNA". Rfam says of the family: Transfer RNA (tRNA) molecules are approximately 80 nucleotides in length. Their secondary structure includes four short double-helical elements and three loops (D, anti-codon, and T loops). The record is from Rfam. Lineage: Bacteria; Pseudomonadati; Pseudomonadota; Betaproteobacteria.